RNAcentral lists this ribosomal RNA (253 nucleotides) under uncultured bacterium. Its description in RNAcentral is "partial 16S ribosomal RNA". It matches the Rfam family "Bacterial small subunit ribosomal RNA", at positions 524 to 776 of the family's 1533-position model. The record is from RNAcentral.
UACGUAGGUGGCAAGCGUUAUCCGGAUUUAUUGGGCGUAAAGGGAACGCAGGCGGUCUUUUAAGUCUGAUGUGAAAGCCUUCGGCUUAACCGGAGUAGUGCAUUGGAAACUGGGAGACUUGAGUGCAGAAGAGGAGAGUGGAACUCCAUGUGUAGCGGUGAAAUGCGUAGAUAUAUGGAAGACCACCAGUGGCGAAAGCGGCUCUCUGGUCUGUAACUGACGCUGAGGUUCGAAAGCGUGGGUAGCAAACAGG